Molecule: long non-coding RNA, 545 nt
Organism: Hipposideros armiger (great roundleaf bat)
Lineage: Eukaryota; Metazoa; Chordata; Mammalia; Chiroptera; Hipposideridae
Exons: 3
Source: RefSeq, a predicted model, not a curated record
GAGGGAGGAGGCAGGGACAGAUCCCCCGAAGCAAAAUCAUUGUGCUACUGACAGAAAAAGGGCAAUGGCUAUGGAGAGGCAAGCCGCAGGUCUCAAUGGAGCAUGAAAUAGGCUUGUUGACUGGUUCAAUGGUAGAAACAGAGAGUUGUGUGUGAGGCGAGAAGUGGUUCAGCAUCAUUCCUGCCCAAGAUAACAUGAGCAGCUGAAGCAGACGCAUGGACUCUGAUCUUACCAGCUGGUACAUCACAAGAACUAAAGCAGCUUUGGAGCGAGAGAUGGCAUCUGUGCAAGGACAAUGGCAGAGUCUCCCUAAAAGCUCUGGAUCACUGAUCUGCAGACAAAUAAACUAUUUUGUAAGAGCCACUGUCGCUGGAGGGUGUUCUGUCACAGUAGCCUAGCCUGGAUCCUACUACUGAAAUGAACAGUGGCAACAGAUCCCUAUGGGUCUCUGAUUUCACCUGGAUUCUGCACCCUUUCCUAGUGUCUUAGGAAGGCUUGGAGGAUCCUGUCCUCACAGUGAAUAAGGCUGUUGCUGAGAUCUAAGU